Amphimedon queenslandica is the source of this 307-nucleotide long non-coding RNA. RefSeq lists it as uncharacterized. The record is from RefSeq and is a predicted model, not a curated record. NCBI's taxonomy places the organism in Eukaryota, Metazoa, Porifera, Demospongiae, Haplosclerida, Niphatidae. The transcript has 2 exons.
UCAUAGGAGUGAGAAGUAAAGAGACAGGAGAGGGGAAGAAACUAAACACUGCUGGAUCAAGGAGGACUUUGAAUAAGAGUGGUCACUUUGAUGGACAUGGUGAUAAGAGACCUUUGAUAUCAACCAAUGCAGCAUGCAAUGCCCUAGUGAAGCCAGUUAAAGUUACACGGACAAGACAAUCAAGCAAAGAAAUGACCCCUUUAGAUACUUGCCCCAAGGACAUCUGUUUGAUGAGAAGAAAUAAUCCGAAUUCAACAUGGGUCUUAUGUGAAAAAUGUUCUUAGUGGGUGCAUAUUCGAUGUGCUGG